GCUCUGGGUCUUUAUGAACUUGUGAGACCUUCCCUUGAAGUUAAUUGGAUGUUGUUGCGAUAAUGAAAUAAGGAGUAUGAAUUUAUUACAUUUUUUGUAACUGUUUUUAGGUAUUCGAUGUGAUUCCGAAUGCACAGCUCCAGAUCUUUAUGAACUUAUGAGGUCUUCCCCAUGAAGUUUAUUGGAUGUCAUUUGGGUUGUUUCAGGCCAAGGGUAGGUUCCCU
This 224-nucleotide long non-coding RNA is filed under the name Lathyrus oleraceus (garden pea). RNAcentral's name for it is "Pisum sativum (pea) long non-coding RNA (PSAT_LNC015434)". Lineage: Eukaryota; Viridiplantae; Streptophyta; Magnoliopsida; Fabales; Fabaceae. The record is from RNAcentral.